RNAcentral lists this ribosomal RNA (432 nucleotides) under uncultured bacterium. Its description in RNAcentral is "partial 16S ribosomal RNA". It matches the Rfam family "Bacterial small subunit ribosomal RNA", at positions 29 to 507 of the family's 1533-position model. The record is from RNAcentral.
ACGCACGCUGGCGGCAUGCCUCACACAUGCAAGUCGAACGAGACCUUCGGGUCUAGUGGCGCACGGGUGCGUAACGCGUGGGAACCUGCCCUUAGGUUCGGAAUAACUCCCCGAAAGGGGUGCUAAUACCGGAUAAUGUCUUCGGACCAAAGAUUUAUCGCCUUUGGAUGGGCCCGCGUUGGAUUAGCUAGUUGGUAGGGUAAAAGCCUACCAAGGCGACGAUCCAUAGCUGGUCUGAGAGGAUGAUCAGCCACACUGGGACUGAGACACGGCCCAGACUCCUACGGGAGGCAGCAGUGGGGAAUAUUGGACAAUGGGCGAAAGCCUGAUCCAGCAAUGCCGCGUGAGUGAUGAAGGCCUUAGGGUUGUAAAGCUCUUUUAUCCGGGAUGAUAAUGACAGUACCGGGAGAAUAAGCUCCGGCUAACUCCGUG